GUCCCUGUAGCUCAGAUGGAUAGAGCGUCCCCCUCCUAAGGGGAAGGUCACAGGUUCAACUCCUGUCAGGGACACCA
Molecule: transfer RNA, 77 nt
Filed under: Methylophaga sp.
Lineage: Bacteria; Pseudomonadati; Pseudomonadota; Gammaproteobacteria; Thiotrichales; Piscirickettsiaceae
Description: tRNA-Arg
Rfam family: tRNA
About the family: Transfer RNA (tRNA) molecules are approximately 80 nucleotides in length. Their secondary structure includes four short double-helical elements and three loops (D, anti-codon, and T loops).
Source: RNAcentral